Molecule: ribosomal RNA, 301 nt
Filed under: uncultured bacterium
Lineage: Bacteria
Description: partial 16S ribosomal RNA
Rfam family: Bacterial small subunit ribosomal RNA
Source: RNAcentral
CAGUCGCCGCGGUAAUACGGAGGGUGCAAGCGUUAAUCGGAAUUACUGGGCGUAAAGCGCACGCAGGCGGUCUGUCAAGUCAGAUGUGAAAUCCCCGGGCUUAACCUGGGAACUGCAUUUGAAACUGGCAGGCUAGAGUCUUGUAGAGGGGGGUAGAAUUCCAGGUGUAGCGGUGAAAUGCGUAGAGAUCUGGAGGAAUACCGGUGGCGAAGGCGGCCCCCUGGACAAAGACUGACGCUCAGGUGCGAAAGCGUGGGGAGCAAACAGGAUUAGAUACCCGCGUAGUCCCUGUCUCUUAUAC